This is a long non-coding RNA of Carya illinoinensis, 928 nucleotides long. RefSeq lists it as uncharacterized. NCBI's taxonomy places the organism in Eukaryota, Viridiplantae, Streptophyta, Magnoliopsida, Fagales, Juglandaceae. The transcript is spliced from 2 exons. The record is from RefSeq and is a predicted model, not a curated record.
AAUAGGAAAAACCUUAUAACCGGUCUGGCUGCUCUUCCCAUUAUAAUAGCCCUCCAAUUAUGACCCGCCACGUGUCUAUUUCAUUUUAUAACAGAUGGACCUGUUUACACCAAAGCAUUCCCUAUCUAUGUAAUUUCAGAAUCCCUCAUACGGCUCUAAACUCCUCUCACUCAACAUCCAAAUUUUAUCUUCAUCGGCACACACCGGCCACCUAAGAAGUCGCGGGUCACCUCCUUUCUCCAUCGAAGUUUUUCACCUUCUCCUGUGCGGGUCACGUCCUCCUCUCCAUUGAAGCUGUUCAUCUUCUCCGGCGCGGGUCUCCUCCUCUCCAUCGAAGCGGGUCACAUUCACCAGCUAAUUUCUUGUGAUCUUCCUCUUCUUGGUUCCAGCAAAUGACAAGUUCAAGUACCAAUAUCGGUUCAAGUUCGUGGACUUCAAGAGGGAAAGACAAAGCAAGUUUGGACAGACCACUUUGCUACUGUGGCAUUCCAUCAAAACUCAGAAUCUCUAGAAAGGGUAAUAGUUUUGGCAGAAAAUUUUACAAUUGCCCAAACUAUAAGAUCAAUAAACAAUGUGGAUUUUUUGAAUGGAUUGAUCUUGAAAGUGAACAAAAUUCAUGCUGCAAGAUGACGUUGGAGUUAGCUCAAUGAAUGAAUGAGAGGUUAUUUCACGAACAUGUGACGAAGGAACAAGCCAAAUAUAAAGCAAUGGAGAAAAAGUAUAAUGCUACCUUGAAAGUCUUGUUGAUAUCGUGGUUGUUUUUUAUUGCGAUUUAUGCUGUAAUUUUUAUGUAUCCCAAAAACCAAAAUGUAUGUUGGGCAGUGCCUCGACUCAUGUAAGCUAUUUUAGCUUUGGACAACUGAUUGUAAUGAACAUGUGAUGUAAUUAGUAUGGUUUUAUGAAUUUAAUGAACAUGUGCUUUUCUUUA